This 459-nucleotide ribosomal RNA is filed under the name uncultured fungus. RNAcentral describes it as "eukaryotic LSU rRNA". The stretch from base 1 to 150 matches the Rfam family "5.8S ribosomal RNA". The record is from RNAcentral. Lineage: Eukaryota; Fungi.
CAACAACGGAUCUCUUGGCUCUCGCAUCGAUGAAGAACGCAGCGAAAUGCGAUAAGUAAAUGUGAAUUGCAGAAUUCAGUGAAUCAUCGAAAUCUUUGAACGCACCUUGCGCUCCCUGGUAUUCCGGGGAGCAUGCCUGUUUGAGUGUCAUGAAUCUCUCAACCUACUAGAUUGAAAAAUCGAAAUAGUGUUGGACUUGGAGGCUUGCUGGCCUAGUCAGCUCCUCUCAAAUGCAUUAGCUAUGGAUCGCGCAGUUAUUAGAUCUACGGUGUGAUACAUGUCUCACCAAUGGAUCGAAAGCUAUAAUCACCCCCUCUUCGGGAGUUGUAUACUUUAUUGUGUACCGUGUGAUGAGUGAAUACAAAGCUUCUAAUCGUCUUCACAGACAACUAUUUUGACAUCUGACCUCAAAUCAGGUAGGACUACCCGCUGAACUUAAGCAUAUCAAUAAGCGGAGGA